Molecule: ribosomal RNA, 475 nt
Filed under: Streptococcus sanguinis
Lineage: Bacteria; Bacillati; Bacillota; Bacilli; Lactobacillales; Streptococcaceae
Description: bacterial SSU rRNA
Rfam family: Bacterial small subunit ribosomal RNA
Source: RNAcentral
GACGAACGCUGGCGGCGUGCCUAAUACAUGCAAGUAGAACGCUGAAGAGAGGAGCUUGCUCUUCUUGGAUGAGUUGCGAACGGGUGAGUAACGCGUAGGUAACCUGCCUGGUAGCGGGGGAUAACUAUUGGAAACGAUAGCUAAUACCGCAUAAAAUUGAUUAUUGCAUGAUAAUUAAUUGAAAGAUGCAAUUGCAUCACUACCAGAUGGACCUGCGUUGUAUUAGCUAGUUGGUGAGGUAACGGCUCACCAAGGCGACGAUACAUAGCCGACCUGAGAGGGUGAUCGGCCACACUGGGACUGAGACACGGCCCAGACUCCUACGGGAGGCAGCAGUAGGGAAUCUUCGGCAAUGGGGGGAACCCUGACCGAGCAACGCCGCGUGAGUGAAGAAGGUUUUCGGAUCGUAAACUCUGUUGUAAGAGAAGAACGGGUGUGAGAGUGGAAAGUUCACACUGUGACGGUAUCUUACCAG